GGUGAGGAAGAUAACGGGACUGGAGUUGAUGUAUGGGGAUUUUAUUACGUUUGGAUUCCUGACUGACUGCUUUGGAAAGCGUGGAGUCACGGUAAGUGUUUCUUUAGUGGCCAAUGGCGGUUUUAGGCGGGGGCCAGCAGGGGCCAGUGCCCCCGUAACUCCGAGUCCGGCCCCCCCUGUGGCCCCCCGCCGAGGAGUCGGAGGGGGAACGCGGAACUAAAUCGUCUCAACAGGUUGCCGGUCGGAGCACUUAAAGAGGCGCACCCAGUGAAUCAUGCAGAAUACACCACACAAGAAGGAAAAGGGCCUGAGUUUUCUAGUGUUUAGUGUUUCCCAUACAUUGACUAAUUUGCCCUGCCACAGUCUCCAAAAACUGGCCAGAUAUAAAAUGCCUCCGGUAAAUGAACGUCACUCUGUAGCGCACCGGCUGGAGCUCCUACUGGGAAUUCUUCGGCUACCCCCUCCCUCCCCCUCCCCCUCCCCGGCCUCACCACAGACGUCGCUCCCCUAGCGCUAAUGUGAGCCUGAGUUGAUAGAGCAGACCGCAUUUCUAAGCGGAAUAUUGAGGAAUACUGACAUCCACUUCGUGAGCAUUCUUGAAAACACCCAGAACACAUCAGUAGAGAAUUGUGUGGCUGUAUUUAAGACAACUCUGAGCCUGCACAGCAACACACAGCACCAUUGAGCAUGGGUUUCCUCCAGGUGCUCCGACAUGUUCUUCCCGUGUCAGCGUGGGUUUCCUCCAGGUGCUCUGACAUGUUCUCCCUGUGUCAGCGUGGGUUUCCUCCAGGUGCUCUGACAUGUUCUCCCCGUGUCAGCGUGGGUUUCCUCCAGGUGCUCUGACAUGUUCUCCCUGUGUCAGCGUGGGUUUCCUCCAGGUGCUCUGACAUGUUCUCCCUGUGUCAGCGUGGGUUUCCUCCAGGUGCUCUGACAUGUUCUCCCCGUGUCAGCGUGGGUUUCCUCCAGGUGCUCUGACAUGUUCUCCCUGUGUCAGCGUGGGUUUCCUCCAGGUGCUCUGACAUGUUCUCCCCGUGUCAGCGUGGGUUUCCUCCAGGUGCUCCAGCUUCCUCCCACAGUCCAAAGACAUGCAGGUUAAUU
Long non-coding RNA from Epinephelus fuscoguttatus (brown-marbled grouper), 1098 nucleotides. RefSeq lists it as uncharacterized. The transcript is spliced from 3 exons. The record is from RefSeq and is a predicted model, not a curated record. NCBI's taxonomy places the organism in Eukaryota, Metazoa, Chordata, Actinopteri, Perciformes, Serranidae.